Molecule: long non-coding RNA, 1810 nt
Organism: Mustela lutreola (European mink)
Lineage: Eukaryota; Metazoa; Chordata; Mammalia; Carnivora; Mustelidae
Exons: 2
Source: RefSeq, a predicted model, not a curated record
GCGGGGGGCGCGGCUGGGGCGGCUCUCGCGGGGUCCGCCUGCCAGCCCGGCGUGCGGGGGUCCCCAUGCCGUUCGCGGGCCGGUGGCUCUGCCGUCCCACCCCGGCCUCGGCGUCGAGGGGGGCGGGACUGCCGUGGGCGCUGCAGUCUGAUCCGGGGGUCAAGACUGCCCCGUCGGGCAGCGGUUCGGUCCGUGGCCUCUAAAGCUUCGUUCCCUCCCCUCCCUGGGAAGGUCCCACCGCCCCUAGAACUGAGCUUGCCCGUGUGCCAGGGCCCGUGUGCCAGGAUUGUCGGUCACUGUGUAUGUGUGCCUCCUUGUCCGGGCGACGCUGGAGGCAGCUUGACCUCACCUUUGCCCCGUCCUGCGGUGUGGGAAACCACCCCCGGGGCUGGACUACAUGAGUGCCAGAUCUGAGGGCCAGGAGGAGGGUGCCUUGGGGCUAGCAUGGUGGCCUGGCCAGUUUCUGCCCUUAGAAAUGAAUACCCUCCUGCCUGGGUUUGGACGUGUGCCCCCAGAGGCGUCUGGGCAACUUAGUGAGUUAAAGCCUCUGCUUUCGGCUCAGGUCAUGAUCUUGGGGUGCUGGGAUAGAGCCCGCAUGGGGCUCCCAGCUCAGCAGGCUGGGUCUAUACCCAGACCAGUACUGCAUCUCCGACACAGUCUCCGUGGAGGUUGGGCCUGUGGGCCGUGCGGGGCUGGGUCCGUGAGUCUCAACCCAGUGGCACGCUGACCUGAGCAGGCAACACGUGUAGACAGUGACAGUGCCCGCCCCUGGGCAGGGAGGUCCGCCUCCGUGGGACGCUGUCGCUUCCAGCCCCCCAGGUGCCGGCUGGGCUGCGACGGAGCUGGAACGGGCGGCCGGCCUGGGCCAUGAUGGGGCGUAGUCCCUUCUGGCUGCCCCACCUGCCGGAGCAGAGCCCCUGACAGAGAAUUUACGAUCAAAGUCUGGAACCCAACGCCAGAGGGAAGAAUCUGACAAGGAUUUGGCCUCCAGGAUCCCGAGAGUCGUGAACACAGGAAAGUCCUCUUGGGAGCUUCCCUUGUCUUUAGAUCCCCCGCUCCGAAGUGCGGAAGUCACUCAGCAGAUCCCUUGGAAGCCUCGUGGCCCCGGGCCCACGCUUUCAUAAGACCCCUCUUGCACCAAAGGGGUCUCAAGAAUUCUUUCCUGGUCGUCACCUCUGGACCCCGACCGUCCGCAUCAUGGGGCCAGCAGGCCCCCCCGGGUAUGGAAGCUCCCCACCCCCACCUCGCCCUACACCUAUCUUCAUGGGGCCGUUCAUCCACAUCUUUUGUAAUAAAUCCAUAACCCAGCGAGUGAGCCGCUCCGCAAAUUCACGGAAUCCACUCGUGGCCGGUCAUCAGAAGCACAGCCAGCGGGGAUUUGCACUGGCCCCAGAAGGAGGGGAAGCAGCUGCUUAGGAAGUGGGGCAGGGGUGGGGCGGAGAGGGCCGUGGACACCCGGCCGACAGGCGAGGAAGGAGAGAGACGCGCGCCAUGGCCGCGGGCCACACAGACCCUCGCAGGGUGCACAGAGCCCAGCUUUCACGCACAGCCUCACCUGAAGUUUUCUUUAUUUCUUCCAUACACACGAUUGGGAAACACGUCACCAACGGAAGGUGAUUUUAUACCACAGUAAGUUCGAACAUAAAUAAAUCUGUGCCACAGUGAGAUUGCCACUCUAAGUUUUAUAGGAAAACGCACCGAACCUCGUAAGACCCAAGCGAUUCCUUCUUCAAGUCUCUACUACAAGGUUGGACGCGUCAGAAGGGGGAGGCUGUCCCUUCGGACACGUCCAUAUUGUCACCGACCAUAC